RNAcentral lists this ribosomal RNA (253 nucleotides) under uncultured bacterium. RNAcentral describes it as "partial 16S ribosomal RNA". It matches the Rfam family "Bacterial small subunit ribosomal RNA", at positions 524 to 776 of the family's 1533-position model. The record is from RNAcentral.
UACGUAGGGCGCAAGCGUUGUCCGGAAUUAUUGGGCGUAAAGAGCUCGUAGGCGGUCUGUUACGUCCGCUGUGAAAACCCAGGGCUUAACCCUGGGCUUGCAGUGGAUACGGGUAGACUAGAGGCAGGUAGGGGAGAAUGGAAUUCCCGGUGUAGCGGUGAAAUGCGCAGAUAUCAGGAGGAACACCGGUGGCGAAGGCGGGCUACUGGGCCGAUACUGACGCUGAUGCGCGAAAGCCAGGGGAGCGAACGGG